RNAcentral lists this long non-coding RNA (4962 nucleotides) under Xyrichtys novacula (pearly razorfish). The record is from RNAcentral. Lineage: Eukaryota; Metazoa; Chordata; Actinopteri; Labriformes; Labridae.
UGGUUGAACUUGAGUCUGUGUUUUUUUUAACUUGAGGUUGUGGCGUGUUUGAUCUUGAGUUUGUGGUGUUUCUUGAACUUAAGUUUGUUGAACUUGAGUUUGUGGCAAUUGUUGAACUUGAGUUUGUUGUGUAUUUGAACUUGAGUUUGUGUCAUGUUUGAACUUGAGUUUGUUGUGUAUUUAAACUUGAGUUUGUGUCAUGUUUGAACUUAAGUUUGUGGUGUUUGUGAACUAGAUGGUGUGAAGUAUGUUAAACUUGUGAAAUUGGUAUUGGUUGAACUUGAGUUUGUGGUUUUUGUUAAACAUGAGUUUGUGUCAUUUUUGAACUUUAGUUUGUGGUGUUUUUGAACUUUAGCAUGUGUUGUUUUUGAACUUGAGGUUUUGGAAAUUGUUAAACUUGAGAAUUGGGUAUUGGUUGAACUUGAGUUUUUGUUGUUUUUGAACUUGUAUUUGUGUCAUGUUUGACGUUUAGUUUGUGGUUUUUGUUGAACCUGAGUUUGUGUUGUGAUUGAUCUUGAGUUGCGUGUUUGGUGAACUUGAGUUUGUGUGUUUUUUGAACUUGAGUUUCUUUUGUUUUUGAACUUGAGUUUGUGGUGUUUUUGAACUUUAGCAUGUGUUGUUUUUGAACUUGAGGUUGUUGAAAUUGUUAAACCUGAGAAUUGGGUAUUGUUUGAACUUGAGUUUUUGGUGUUUUUGAACUUGAGGGUGUGGAAAUUGUUAAACUUGAGAAUUGGGUAUUGGUUGAACUUGAGUUUUUGGUGUUUUUGAACUUGAGGUUGUGGAAAUUGUUAAACUUGAGAAUUGGGUAUUGGCUGAACUUGAGUUUGGUGUAUUUGAACUUGAGUUUGUGUCGUAUUUGAACUUGAGUUUGUAUUGUGUUUGAACUAGAUUUUGUGUGUUUGUUGAACUUGAGGUUGUGGCAAUUGUUAAACUUGAGAUUUGGGUGUUGGUUAAACUUGAGUUUGUGUCGUGUUUGAACUUGAGUUCGUUUUGUUUGUUUAACUUGAGUUUGUGUGCUAUUUGAACUUGAGAUUGUGAAAAUUUUUAAUCUUGAGAAUCAGGUGUUGGUUUAACUUGAGUUUGUGGUUUUUGUUGAACUUGAGUUUGUGUCUUGUUUGAACUUGAGUUUGUUGUAUGUGUUUUUUGAUCUUGAAGUUCUGAAAAUUUAUAAACUUGGGAUUCAGGUGUUGGUUGAACUUGAGUUUGUGGUUUUUGUUGAACUUGAGUUUGUGUCGUAUUUGAACUUGAGUUUGUUUCUGGUUGAACUUGAGUCUGUGUUUUUUUUAACUUGAGGUUGUGGCGUGUUUGAUCUUGAGUUUGUGGUGUUUCUUGAACUUAAGUUUGUUGAACUUGAGUUUGUGGCAAUUGUUGAACUUGAGUUUGUUGUGUAUUUGAACUUGAGUUUGUGUCAUGUUUGAACUUGAGUUUGUUGUGUAUUUAAACUUGAGUUUGUGUCAUGUUUGAACUUAAGUUUGUGGUGUUUGUGAACUAGAUGGUGUGAAGUAUGUUAAACUUGUGAAAUUGGUAUUGGUUGAACUUGAGUUUGUGGUUUUUGUUAAACAUGAGUUUGUGUCAUUUUUGAACUUUAGUUUGUGGUGUUUUUGAACUUUAGCAUGUGUUGUUUUUGAACUUGAGGUUUUGGAAAUUGUUAAACUUGAGAAUUGGGUAUUGGUUGAACUUGAGUUUUUGGUGUUUUUGAACUUGAGGUUGUGGAAAUUGUUAAACUUGAGAAUUGGGUAUUGGUUGAACUUGAGUUUUUGGUGUUUUUGAACUUGAGGUUGUGGAAAUUGUUAAACUUGAGAAUUGGGUAUUGGUUAAAAUUGUUUUUUUUUUUAAUCUUGAGUUUUUGUUGUUUUUGAACUUGAGUUUGUGGUGUUUUUGAACUUGAGUUUCUGUUGUUUUUGAACUUGAGGUAGUGGAAAUUGUUAAACCUUAGAAUCAGGUGUUGGUUGAUCUUGAGUUUGUGUGUUUUUUGAACUUGAAUUUGUGUGUUUGAACUUGAGGGUGUUUUGUGUUUGAACUUGAGUUUGUGGUGUUUUUGAACUUGAGUUUGCGUCUUGUUUGAACUUUAGGGUGUGGAAUUUGUUUAACUUGAGAAUUUGGUAUUGGUUGAACUAGAGUUUUGUGGUGUUUUUGAACUUGAGUUUAUUGAGAUUGUUUAACUUGAGAAUCAGGUGUUGGAUGAACUUGAGUUAGUGUUUGUUGAACUUGAGUUUUGGUCGUGUUGGAACUUAAGUUUGUGGGGUUUUUUAACUUGAGUUUGUGUGUUUGUUGAACUUGAGUUUGUUUUGUGUUUGAACUCGAGUUUGUGGUUUUUUUUAACUUGAGUUUGUUUCAUGUUUGAACUUGCGUUUGUGUCGUUUGUUGAACUUGAGUUUGUGUCUUGUUUGAACUUGAGUUUGUGGUGUUUUUGAACUUGAGUUUUUGGUGUUUUUGAACUUGAGCUUGUGGAAAUUGUUAAACUUGAGAAUUGGGUGUUGGUUGAACUUGAGUUUGUGUGUUUUUUUGAACUUGAGUUUGUGGUGUGUUUGAACUUGAGUUUUUGGGGUUUUUUGAACUUGAGUUUUUGUGUUUGUUGAACUUGAGUUUUUGAUGUGUUUGAACUUGAGUUUUUGGUGGUUUUGAACUUGAGGUUGUGGAAAUUGUUAAACUUGAGAAUUGGGUAUUGGUUGAACUUGCGUUUUUUGUGUUUUUUAAAUUGGGUUAGUGUAGUGUUUGAACCUGAGUUUGUGGUAUUUUUGAACUUGAGUUGCGUGUUUCGUGACCUCGAGUUUUUGGUGUGUUUGAACUUGGUUGGUUGGUUGAACUUAAAAGUUUUUACAUUUGUUGAACUCGAGUUUUUGGUGUUCGUUGAACUUGGGUUUGUGUCGUGUUUGAACUUGAGUUUGUGGCGUUUUUGAACUUGAGGUUGUUGAAAUUGUUAAACUUGAAUUGGGUAUUGGUUGAACUUGCGUUUUUUGUGUUUUUCAAAUUGGGUUUGUGUAGUGUUUGAACUUUAGGUUGUGGAAUUUGUUAAACAUGAGAAUUGGGUAUUGGUUGAACUUGCGUUUUUGUUGUUUUUGAACUUGCGUUCGUGUUGUUUGUUUAACUUGAGUUUGUGUGUUUUUUGAACUUGAGGCUGUGAAAAUUUUUAAACUUGAGUAUCAGGUGUUGGUUGAACUUGAGUUUGUGGGUAUUGUUGAACUUGAGGUUGUGGCAACCAACUUGAGAUUUGGGUGUUGGUUUAACUUGAGUUUGUGUCGUGUUUGAACUUGCGUUCGUGUUGUUUGUUUAACUUGAGUUUGUGUGUUUUUUGAACUUGAGGCUGUGAAAAUUUUUAAACUUGAGUAUCAGGUGUUGGUUGAACUUGAGUUUGUGGGUAUUGUUGAACUUGAGGUUGUGGCAACCAACUUGAGAUUUGGGUGUUGGUUGAACUUGAGUCUGUGUUGUGUUUGAACUUGCGUUCGUGUUUUUUGUUUAACUUGAGUUUGUGUGUUUUUUGAACUUGAGGCUGUGAAAAUUUUUAAACUUGAGUAUCAGGUGUUGGUUGAACUUGAGUUUGUGGGUUUUGUUGAACUUGAGUUUGUGGAUUGUUUUAACUUAUGUUUGUGGUUUUUUUUAACUUGAGGUUCUGAAAAUUUUUAAACUUGAGAAUUGGGUAUUGGUUGAACUUGAGUUUUUGGUGUUUUUUAAAUUGAGUUUGUUUCGUGUUUGAACUUGAGUUUGCGGCGUGUUUGAACUUGAGUUUGUGGCGUGUUUGAACUUGAGUUUGUGUGUUUUUUGAACUUGAGGUAGGCAAUUUUUUAACUUAAUAUUUGGGUAUUGGUUUCACUUGAGUUAGUGUGUUUGUUGAACUUGAGUUUGUGUCGUGUUUGAACUUGAGUUUGUGGCGUGUUUGAACUUGAGUUUUUGUGUUUGUUGAACUUAAGGUUGUGGCAAUUUUUAAACUUAAUAUUUGGGUAUUGGUUUCACUUGAGUUAGUGUGUUUGUUGAACUUGAGUUCGUGUCGUGUUUGAUUUUGAGUUUGUGGUGUUUUUGAACUUGAGUUUGUGUGUUUGUUGAACUUGAGUUUGUGUUGUGUUUGAACUUGAGUUUGUGGUUUUUUUAACUUGAGUUUGUUUCAUGUUGGAACUUGAGUUUGUGGGGUUUGUUGAACUUGAGUUUGUGUCGUGUUUGAACUUGAGUUUGUGGUGUUUUUGAACUUGAGUUUGUGAUGUUUUUGAACUUGAGGUUGUGGAGAUUUUUUAACUUGAGAAUUGGGUAUUGGUUGAACUUGAGUUUUUGUUGCUUUUUAAUUUGAGUUUGUGUCGUGUUUAAACUUAGGUUUUUGUGUGUUUGAACUUGAGUUUGUGUGUUUGUUGAACUUGUGGCUGUGGAAAUUGUUAAACUUAAGAUUUGGGUGUUGGUUGAAUUUGAGUUUGUCUCGUGUCUGAACUUAAGUUCAUGAUGUUUGUUUAACUUUAGUUUGUGUGUUUUUUGAAAUUGAGUUUUUGAAAAUUUUUAAACUUGAGAAUCAGGUGUUGGUUGAACUUUAGUUUUUGGUUUUUUUGAACCUGAGUUUGUGUCGUGUUUGAGCUUGAGUUUGUUGUGUUUUUGAACUUGAGUCUGUGUUGUUUUUGAACUUAAGGUUGUCAAAAUUGUUAAACUUGAAAAUUGGGUAUUGGUAUGACUUGAGUUUGUAUUGUGUUUUUGAACUUGAGUUUGUGUCAUGUUUUAACUUUAGUUUGUGGUUUUUUUCAACUUGAAUUUGCGUGUUUGGUGAAAUUGAGUUUGUUUGUUUUUUGAACUUGAGUUUCUGUUGUUUUUGAACUUUAGGUUGUGGAAAUUUUUAAACUUGAGAAUUGUGUAUUGUUUGAACUUGAGUUUGUUGUGUGUUUGAACUUGAGUUUGUGUGUUUUUUGAACUUGAGGUAUUGGCAAUUGUUAAACUUGAGAUUUGGGUGUUGGUUGAACUUGAGUUGUGUCGUGUUUGAACUUGAGUUCA